GACGAACGCUGGCGGCGUGCUUAACACAUGCAAGUCGAACGGUAAGGCCCUUCGGGGUACACGAGUGGCGAACGGGUGAGUAACACGUGGGUGAUCUGCCCUGCACUUCGGGAUAAGCCUGGGAAACUGGGUCUAAUACCGGAUAGGACUCCGGACUGCAUGGUCUGGGGUGGAAAGCUUUUGCGGUGUGGAAUGGGCCCGCGGCCUAUCAGCUUGGUGGUGGGGUGAUGGCCUACCAAGGCGACGACGGGUAGCCGGCCUGAGAGGGUGACCGGCCACACUGGGACUGAGACACGGCCCAGACUCCUACGGGAGGCAGCAGUGGGGAAUAUUGCACAAUGGGCGCAAGCCUGAUGCAGCGACGCCGCGUGAGGGAUGACGGCCUUCGGGUUGUAAACCUCUUUCAGCACAGACGAAGCGCAAGUGACGGUAUGUGCAGAAGAAGGACCGGCCAACUACGUGCCAGCCGCCGCCGCAG
Molecule: ribosomal RNA, 478 nt
Filed under: uncultured bacterium
Lineage: Bacteria
Description: partial 16S ribosomal RNA
Rfam family: Bacterial small subunit ribosomal RNA
Source: RNAcentral